AACGAACGCUGGCGGCAGGCCUAACACAUGCAAGUCGAACGCUCUUUUCGGAGAGAGUGGCGCACGGGUGAGUAACGCGUGGGAAUCUGCCCUUUGGUUCGGAAUAACCCUGGGAAACUA
RNAcentral lists this ribosomal RNA (120 nucleotides) under uncultured bacterium. RNAcentral describes it as "partial 16S ribosomal RNA". It matches the Rfam family "Bacterial small subunit ribosomal RNA", at positions 29 to 159 of the family's 1533-position model. The record is from RNAcentral.